GAUGAACGCUAGCGGCAGGCUUAAUACAUGCAAGUCGAGGGGCAGCAGGACUGUAGCAAUACAGUUGCUGGCGACCGGCAAACGGGUGCGGAACACGUACGCAACCUACCCAAAACUGGGGGAUAGCCCGGGGAAACCCGGAUUAAUACCUCGUAACCUUUUUAAGUGGCAUCACUUGAUAAGUAUAGCUCCGGCGGUUUUGGAUGGGCGUGCGCCUGAUUAGGUAGUUGGUGCGGGUAACGGCCCACCAAGCCUGCGAUCAGUAACUGGUGUGAGAGCACGACCAGUCACACGGGCACUGAGACACGGGCCCGACUCCUACGGGAGGCAGCAGUAAGGAAUAUUGGUCAAUGGACGCAAGUCUGAACCAGCCAUGCCGCGUGAAGGAUGCAGGUCCUCUGGAUUGUAAACUUCUUUUAUGGGGGACGAAACCCGGAUAUUCUUAUCCGAUUGACGGUACCUCAGGAAUAAGCACCGGCUAACUCCGUG
This 489-nucleotide ribosomal RNA is filed under the name uncultured bacterium. RNAcentral describes it as "partial 16S ribosomal RNA". It matches the Rfam family "Bacterial small subunit ribosomal RNA", at positions 28 to 507 of the family's 1533-position model. The record is from RNAcentral.